UACGUAGGUGGCGAGCGUUAUCCGGAAUGAUUGGGCGUAAAGGGUGCGUAGGCGGCCUGCUAAGUCUGGAGUGAAAGGUACCGGCUCAACCGGUACAGGCUCUGGAAACUGGCGGGCUAGAGAGCAGGAGAGGGCGGUGGAACUCCAUGUGUAGCGGUAAAAUGCGUAGAUAUAUGGAAGAACACCAGUGGCGAAGGCGGCAUCCUGGUCUGCAACUGACACUGAGGCGCGAAAGCGUGGGGAGCAAACAGG
RNAcentral lists this ribosomal RNA (252 nucleotides) under uncultured bacterium. Its description in RNAcentral is "partial 16S ribosomal RNA". It matches the Rfam family "Bacterial small subunit ribosomal RNA", at positions 524 to 776 of the family's 1533-position model. The record is from RNAcentral.